This 468-nucleotide ribosomal RNA is filed under the name uncultured bacterium. RNAcentral describes it as "partial 16S ribosomal RNA". It matches the Rfam family "Bacterial small subunit ribosomal RNA", at positions 28 to 507 of the family's 1533-position model. The record is from RNAcentral.
GACGAACGCUGGCGGCGUGCUUAACACAUGCAAGUCGAACGGAAAGGCCCUGCUUUUGUGGGGUGCUCGAGUGGCGAACGGGUGAGUAACACGUGAGUAACCUGCCCUUGACUUUGGGAUAACUUCAGGAAACUGGGGCUAAUACCGGAUAGGAGCUCCUGCUGCAUGGUGGGGGUUGGAAAGUUUCGGCGGUCGGGGAUGGACUCGCGGCUUAUCGGCUUGUUGGUGGGGUAGUGGCUUACCAAGGCUUUGACGGGUAGCCGGCCUGGGAGGGUGGCCGGCCACAUUGGGACUGAGAUACGGCCCAGACUCCUACGGGAGGCAGCAGUGGGGAAUAUUGCACAAUGGGCGGAAGCCUGAUGCAGCAACGCCGCGUGCGGGAUGACGGCCUUCGGGUUGUAAACCGCUUUCGCCUGUGACGAAGCGUGAGUGACGGUAAUGGGUAAAGAAGCACCGGCUAACUACGUG